This 485-nucleotide ribosomal RNA is filed under the name uncultured bacterium. RNAcentral's name for it is "partial 16S ribosomal RNA". It matches the Rfam family "Bacterial small subunit ribosomal RNA", at positions 28 to 507 of the family's 1533-position model. The record is from RNAcentral.
GAUGAACGCUGGCGGCGUGCUUAACACAUGCAAGUCGAACGGGAUCCAAGGGGUGCUUGCACUUUUUGGUGAGAGUGGCGAACGGGUGAGUAACACGUGAGUAACCUGUCCUUUUCUUUGGGAUAAGCAUUCGAAAGGGUGUUUAAUACCUUAUGUUCUGUCUGCCUCGCAUGGGGUGGGUGGGAAAGGCUUUGGCCGGAUUUGGGUGGGCUCGCGGUCUAUCAGCUUGUUGGUGGGGUGAUGGCUUACCAAGGCUUUGACGGGUAGCCGGCCUGAGAGGGUGGUCGGUCACAUUGGGACUGAGAUACGGCCCAGACUCCUGCGGGAGGCAGCAGUGGGGGAGAUUGGACAAUGGGCGAAAGCCUGAUGCAGCGACGCCGCGUGGGGGAUGAAGGCCUUCGGGUUGUAAACUUCUUUUGCUCUGAACAAGGCAUGCCAGUGGGUGUGUUGAGUGUAGGGGUUGAUUAGCGCCGGCUAACUACGUG